This 253-nucleotide ribosomal RNA is filed under the name uncultured bacterium. RNAcentral's name for it is "partial 16S ribosomal RNA". It matches the Rfam family "Bacterial small subunit ribosomal RNA", at positions 524 to 776 of the family's 1533-position model. The record is from RNAcentral.
UACAGAGGGUGCGAGCGUUGUCCGGAAUCACUGGGCGUAAAGGGCGCGUAGGCGGCCUGAUAAGUAGGGGGUGAAAUCCUGUGGCUCAACUGCAGGGCUGCCUCCUAGACUGUCGGGCUUGAGCACGGUAGAGGCAGAUGGAAUUCCCGGUGUAGCGGUGGAAUGCGUAGAUAUCGAGAAGAACGCGCGCAGCGAAGGCGAGACUCUGGGCAAAUUCUGACGCUGAUGCACGAAGGCUAGGGGAGCAAACGGG